This is an RNA transcript of Columba livia (rock pigeon), 1968 nucleotides long. It is a transcript of the gene named peroxisomal biogenesis factor 10, with no coding region annotated. Lineage: Eukaryota; Metazoa; Chordata; Aves; Columbiformes; Columbidae. The transcript has 8 exons. The record is from RefSeq and is a predicted model, not a curated record.
CCUCAGCACCGCCCCGCUGAGGGGAGAGGGGCGUGUCCUUCCGCCCGUCAUGGCGGCGGCGGGGCCGGCGCGGCUGGUGCGCUGCGGGCAGAAGGACGAGCUGUACCGGAGUGGGCUGCGGAGCGGGGCCGGCUCCGCGCUGCACGGGCUCGCGGGUGCCAAGAAGUGGCUGGAGUGGAGGAGGGAGAUCGAGCUGCUCUCUGACGUGGCCUAUUUCGUCCUCACCACUCUGUCAGGUUACCAGACUCUGGGUGAAGAGUAUGUUAACAUUGUUCAAGUUGACUCAACCAAGAAAAAGGUACCUGCUUUUCUUCGACGGGCCGUCUUCAUUGCUCUUCAUACCGUAGUACCCUAUUGCUUGGACAAGGGAUUAUCGCAUCUGGAACACGAGCUGCAGACAGAAGCUGAGGAGUCCAGAACCUCACAGGGCAACCCAGCGCUUGGCUCAUCCAGUAGGACGUUAAUACGAAACUGGGUACAGAAACAAGUUGGGAAGCUGACAGAGCAGCAGAAGAAAACAGUCUUACAAAUUGUGUAUGUUCUUAAGCAAAGCGUACCUUUGCUUCAUCGACUACAUCUGGCACUAUUCUACAUCAAUGGCACUUUUUAUCACCUCUCUAAAAGAAUCGCAGGAAUCACAUAUCUGCAUUUUGGAGGACCACAAGGAGAAGAUCAGAGUAUUCGAUCAAGUUACAAGUUUCUAGGAAUAAUUUCACUCUUCCAUCUUCUUCUAACAAUCGGAGUUCAGAUGUACAGCUUCAAGCAGAAGCAGAGAGCAAGGCAGGAAUGGAAACUGCACCGCAACCUAGCUCAUCACAAAAAUACGACGAUGGAAAAAUCUAGUGGGCGCCACUCCCGCUGCACUUUGUGUUUGGAGGAAAGGAGACAUACAACAGCCACACCUUGCGGGCACCUGUUCUGCUGGGAGUGCAUCACGGAGUGGUGUAACACCCGAACAGAAUGUCCACUGUGCAGAGAGAAGUUUCAUCCUCAGAAACUGAUCUACCUGCGUCACUACCAACUGUAAAGGAAAAAUGUAUUCUGUUUCAAGACAGCAGCCUCAACUCGCAACCCCUUUAUAAAGUUGUCAUACAGCUUGAGUUAGUCCAAGAAAAAACUUGAUUCUAAAACUGUGCCAUCAGAUGAAAAUCCUCAAGCAUUCGCAGUCUCCAUCCUGAAGCUGUGAGUUUAACACCAACAGAUGUCUUUGUUCUUCAGACCAAUUUACCUUCUGCCGUGUGCUGAUACCAUAGCUAAGCUCAACCAAGUUUUACAGUUCAAGAUAUAAACCAAACAAAAUCAAAUGGAUUCUAAACAGAAACAUCUUUGCCACAUCACCAAACCAAUCCCUGCCAUGACUUCCUGGAGUCCUCAGCGUGGGUGGGACCGCAGGACUCGGGUCAGCGGGAGUUCCUCGGCCCCGCACCGACACCUCGGGAGCCCCACGUGGUAAGACAGACACAGGAAAUAUCACUAAAUCAGAAAAACUUAAAUCACGGGCUGCAAAAAAUAAUCUGAGCCCAAGGGCAAUCUGGGGAGGCACAGAACCUUAAAGGUGGGUAUUUCUUAUGUAAACAUCUGAAAACUACAUCCUAUGGAACAACUCGUAAUUGGAAAAAAAAGGAGCCCUGCUACAUUUUAAAGGAGAAGGGGAUUCAUUACAAGGCUUCAGGAGCUGCAGCCCACUUUAAUUCAAGCUACAGCUAAAGAGAAAAAUCAAACAAAUUCAUACAAUACAGAUAGAGACUUUUUCAGUACAGGCAAAAGGAGAUAAUUGUUGUUCUCCCCAUUCGCUGCACUGCAGAAGAGAGAAGUUACUCAGCAUUAUUAGCUGAGCAUCAUUUUGUGCUUUAGUUUGGGUUUUUCUGAAAUGUCCUCAAGAAUAAAGCUGCAACAAAACGAUAUCAAACCUAUUGAUCAGAUAGCAAUUCUCUAAAGGUCAUGAACGUAACACCUUCCAUAUUCUCA